This 433-nucleotide ribosomal RNA is filed under the name uncultured bacterium. Its description in RNAcentral is "partial 16S ribosomal RNA". It matches the Rfam family "Bacterial small subunit ribosomal RNA", at positions 29 to 507 of the family's 1533-position model. The record is from RNAcentral.
AGCGAACGCUGGCGGCAGGCCUAACACAUGCAAGUCGAACGGAUCCUUCGGGAUUAGUGGCGGACGGGUGAGUAACACGUGGGAACGUGCCCUUUGGUUCGGAACAACUCAGGGAAACUUGAGCUAAUACCGGAUGUGCCCUUCGGGGGAAAGAUUUAUCGCCAUUGGAGCGGCCCGCGUCUGAUUAGCUAGUUGGUGAGGUAACGGCCCACCAAGGCGACGAUCAGUAGCUGGUCUGAGAGGAUGAUCAGCCACACUGGGACUGAGACACGGCCCAGACUCCUGCGGGCGGCGGCCGUGGGGACUCUUGCGCCCUGGGCGAAAGCCUGACGCAGCCAUGCCGCGUGAAUGAUGAAGGUCUUAGGAUUGUAAAAUUCUUUCAGCGGGGACGAUAAUGACGGUCCCCGCCGAAGAAGCUCCGGCUACCUUCGUG